RNAcentral lists this ribosomal RNA (701 nucleotides) under uncultured Bacteroidales bacterium. RNAcentral's name for it is "bacterial SSU rRNA". It matches the Rfam family "Bacterial small subunit ribosomal RNA", at positions 48 to 738 of the family's 1533-position model. Lineage: Bacteria; Pseudomonadati; Bacteroidota; Bacteroidia; Bacteroidales. The record is from RNAcentral.
UUAACACAUGCAAGUCGAGGGGCAGCAUGGUCUUAGCUUGCUAAGGCCGAUGGCGACCGGCGCACGGGUGAGUAACACGUAUCCAACCUGCCGUCUACUCUUGGACAGCCUUCUGAAAGGAAGAUUAAUACAAGAUGGCAUCAUGAGUCCACAUGUUCACAUGAUUAAAGGUAUUCCGGUAGACGAUGGGGAUGCGUUCCAUUAGAUAGUAGGCGGGGUAACGGCCCACCUAGUCUUCGAUGGAUAGGGGUUCUGAGAGGAAGGUCCCCCACAUUGGAACUGAGACACGGUCCAAACUCCUACGGGAGGCAGCAGUGAGGAAUAUUGGUCAAUGGGCGAGAGCCUGAACCAGCCAAGUAGCGUGAAGGAUGACUGCCCUAUGGGUUGUAAACUUCUUUUAUAAAGGAAUAAAGUCGGGUAUGCAUACCCGUUUGCAUGUACUUUAUGAAUAAGGAUCGGCUAACUCCGUGCCAGCAGCCGCGGUAAUACGGAGGAUCCGAGCGUUAUCCGGAUUUAUUGGGUUUAAAGGGAGCGUAGAUGGAUAUUUAAGUCAGUUGUGAAAGUUUGCGGCUCAACCGUAAAAUUGCAGUUGAUACUGGAUAUCUUGAGUGCAGUUGAGGCAGGCGGAAUUCGUGGUGUAGCGGUGAAAUGCUUAGAUAUCACGAAGAACUCCGAUUGCGAAGGCAGCCUGCUAAGCUGCA